Molecule: ribosomal RNA, 426 nt
Filed under: uncultured bacterium
Lineage: Bacteria
Description: partial 16S ribosomal RNA
Rfam family: Bacterial small subunit ribosomal RNA
Source: RNAcentral
GUCGAGAAUUUUGGGCAAUGGACGAAAGUCUGACCCAGCAAUGCCGCGUGCGGGAUGAAGGUCUUCGGAUUGUAAACCGCUGUCGAGGGGGACGAAAAUUGACGGUACCCCUAGAGGAAGCCACGGCUAACUACGUGCCAGCAGCCGCGGUAAUACGUAGGUGGCGAGCGUUGUUCGGAUUUAUUGGGCGUAAAGGGUCCGCAGGGGGUUGAUUAAGUCUGACGUGAAAUCUCUGAGCUCAACUCAGAAAUUGCGUUGGAGACUGGUUGACUAGAGUAUUGGAGAGGUAAUUGGAAUUCCAGGUGUAGCGGUGGAAUGCGUAGAUAUCUGGAAGAACAUCGAAAGCGAAGGCAGAUUACUGGACAAUAACUGACCCUCAGGGACGAAAGCAUGGGGAGCAAACAGGAUUAGAAACCCCUGUAGUCC